Rattus norvegicus (Norway rat) is the source of this 1099-nucleotide non-coding RNA. The record is from RefSeq and is a predicted model, not a curated record. Lineage: Eukaryota; Metazoa; Chordata; Mammalia; Rodentia; Muridae.
UAGAAGGGAGGGUAGUCGUUGGAGGGGAGAGAGCGGAAGCGAACAUCCAAGGAGUCUGUACCAGGAAGCGGGAAGUCUCAGAGCCUCAGAGGACACCCAGUGUGGUUCCAGCACCCACAUGAAGGCUCACAACCGCUUUAAACUUGAGUUCUACGUGGUCCAGCGCCCUCUUCUGGUCUCCUUAGGUAAUGUAUGCAGCCAGACACACUCAGGCACAGGCACACAUAUGUAAAAGAAAUAUUUAAAAUAAUAAUAACAAUAAGCCAGAUGUCGUGGUGUACACCUUUGAUCCCAGCACUUAUGAAGCAGAGGCAGGAGGAUCUCUGUGAGUUUGAGGACAAGCUGAGCUGCAGAAUGAGUUCCAAGCCGGCAAAGACUUCAGAGUGAAACUGUCUUUAAAAAAAAAAAAAAAAAAAAAAAAAAGAUAGAAACAACACUAUGCAUUUGUGUGCAAUAGGAAGGAACCUAGAAGCAGAGCUCGAACUUGGAAGAAAUGUCUAUUUGCUGGAGCAUUUAAAAUUUAACCACGGGGUCCAAAGAGACAGCUCAUCGGUUUGCAAGCAUUUGCUCCUUGCACGGAGGAUCCAGCUCGUGUCCCCAGCUCCUACACCCACCUGUCACUUCAGUUCCAGGAGACCCAAUGCCCUUUUCUCAUCUCCUAGAGCCCCAGGUGUGCUUACCGACCUGGACAGGCAGACAUGCCGGCAAAACACUCAUCGCCCAUAAAAUGAAAUAUAUAAAUUUAAAAAUGUGUUGGGUUUAAUUGGAACCAAACCAGAUAAAAUUUAAUUAGGAAAGAACAGGAUUAUAAUUGUGUUUUCUGCCCUCUACAAGCCUUAUUUCAAAAUACAGUCUAAAAUACUGAUUCAUCGAUCUACAAACACAUAGAGUCUGUUUUAAAAAGUAAAUAAAUAGGGGCUGGAGAGACGGCUCAGUGGUUAGGAGCACUGACUGCUCUUCCAGAGUUCAAAUCCCAGCAACCCCAUGGUGGCUCACAACCAUCUGUAAUGAGAUCCGAUGACUUCUUCUGCUGUGUCUGAAGACAGCGACAGAGUAUUCAUAUGUAAUAAAUAAAUCUUUUUUUAAGUAAAUAAAAAAA